CUGUUGAGGGCAUAUAAAAUGGAUAUGUGUUUCCACGCCGCCGGCGGUCACGAUACAGCCUUCGGCAGAGAUGGCUUCCGUCCCGGCUCCCACUUCCAUCCCUGGCGUCACGUUGGGCAUGAGAUCGGGAUUGCCGGCCUUGCCGACUCCGACGAUGCGUCCGUCCUUGAUCCCGAUAUCCGCUUUGACGAUACCCCAGUAAUCGAGGAUGACGGCGUUGGUGAUCACCGUAUCAAGCGCACCACCCGCGCUGGUGGCGCGAGACGAUU
RNAcentral lists this small RNA (269 nucleotides) under Candidatus Nitrospira inopinata. RNAcentral's name for it is "5' ureB small RNA". It matches the Rfam family "5' ureB small RNA". The record is from Rfam by way of RNAcentral. Lineage: Bacteria; Pseudomonadati; Nitrospirota; Nitrospiria; Nitrospirales; Nitrospiraceae.